RNAcentral lists this ribosomal RNA (552 nucleotides) under Perenniporia medulla-panis. Its description in RNAcentral is "partial small subunit ribosomal RNA". It matches the Rfam family "Bacterial small subunit ribosomal RNA", at positions 395 to 968 of the family's 1533-position model. The record is from RNAcentral. Lineage: Eukaryota; Fungi; Basidiomycota; Agaricomycetes; Polyporales; Polyporaceae.
CCCGGUGUGGACUAGCUACUGAAUCAUAGAAUUUUUUAAAAUUCAUGAUGUCGUAAGGGAAAAUAAUGAUAAUACCUUACUAUGAGUGUCGUCCAAAUCUAGUGCCAGAAGACUCGGUAAGACCAGAGACGCGAACGUUAAUCAUCUUAAACAGGCGUAAAGGGUUUGUAGGCAGCUUUCAUAAGAAUAUGAUUUUUAAAAUAAAGUAAUCUAAUUGAAAGCUAGAAUCAAAAAGAGGUUAUAGUGUAUAACGCCUAGAGGAGGGCUGAUAUCCUUAGAUCCUAGGCAGAAUACUCAGGGCGAAGGCCACUCUCCACUAAUGAUUGACGCUGAGAAACGAAGGUUAGGGUAGGAAAUAGGAUUAGAUACCCCGGUACUCCUUUCUGUAAACGAUGAAUGGUAGUCAUUAGUUUAUUUACAUAACUAGAGAUGAAGUUAACACAAUAACCAUUCCGCCUUGUGAGUACUACUGCAAAGUAGAAAACAAAAAAAUUAGUCGGUCUCGAAGCAAACGGAGUGAAGGCAUGUUAUUUAAUUAAUAAAAACCCGGCA